GACGAACGCUGGCGGCGUGCUUAACACAUGCAAGUCGAACGGAAAGGCCCUUCGGGGUACUCGAGUGGCGAACGGGUGAGUAACACGUGGGUGAUCUGCCCUGCACUUUGGGAUAAGCCUGGGAAACUGGGUCUAAUACCGAAUAGGACCACGCGCUUCAUGGUGUGUGGUGGAAAGCUUUUGCGGUGUGGGAUGGACCCGCGGCCUAUCAGCUUGUUGGUGGGGUAAUGGCCUACCAAGGCGACGACGGGUAGCCGGCCUGAGAGGGUGACCGGCCACACUGGGACUGAGAUACGGCCCAGACUCCUACGGGGGGCAGCAGUGGGGAAUAUGGCACAAUGGGCGCAAGCCUGAGGCAGCGACGCCGCGUGGGGAUGACGGCCUUCGGGUUGUAAACCUCUUUCAAUAGGGACGAAGCGCAAGUGACGGUACCUAUAGAAGAAGCACCGGCCAACUACGUG
RNAcentral lists this ribosomal RNA (461 nucleotides) under uncultured bacterium. RNAcentral's name for it is "partial 16S ribosomal RNA". It matches the Rfam family "Bacterial small subunit ribosomal RNA", at positions 28 to 507 of the family's 1533-position model. The record is from RNAcentral.